Small nucleolar RNA from Ailuropoda melanoleuca (giant panda), 70 nucleotides. Its record names the gene U3. It matches the Rfam family "Small nucleolar RNA U3". From Rfam's summary of the family: Small nucleolar RNAs (snoRNAs) are involved in the processing and modification of rRNA in the nucleolus. There are two main classes of snoRNAs: the box C/D class, and the box H/ACA class. NCBI's taxonomy places the organism in Eukaryota, Metazoa, Chordata, Mammalia, Carnivora, Ursidae. The record is from Ensembl.
AAGACUGUACUUGCAGGGAUCAUUUCUAUAGUUUGUUACUAAUUUCCAAAUCUUUGGAGGAUUUUCUAGU